AUUCAACUAACGAGUCCCAAAUAGGACAAAACGCGCGUAAUGGAU
This 45-nucleotide non-coding RNA is filed under the name Schistosoma margrebowiei. The record is from RNAcentral. Lineage: Eukaryota; Metazoa; Platyhelminthes; Trematoda; Strigeidida; Schistosomatidae.